Molecule: long non-coding RNA, 291 nt
Organism: Uloborus diversus
Lineage: Eukaryota; Metazoa; Arthropoda; Arachnida; Araneae; Uloboridae
Exons: 3
Source: RefSeq, a predicted model, not a curated record
GCCGCCGUCUUCUGCGGAUGGUCAGAGUCAGCCCCUGACACCACCACCACUGAAACCGGACAUUGGAGAACCGCAUCCGCGGCCUUAUUUUGUGGGGCCGGAAUUAAAUUUCAUCAAACCUUACAAGCCGAAGAAAAAACAGGCUCCCCGUCCUGUACCUGUUCCGGUACCAUCUGUCAACGUUGAAAGGACGAAGAUGAGAUUUUCAACGCCUGUCUUCAAGAGUGUCUUCAUGGAGUUGCAUGGGAAUAUGUGAGGGACAGAAGCCGGGAAGUGUCACGGGAAAUGUUC